CGGGGGUCAGAAACAGGUAGCAAAGGACGCCAAAUGGAGGCCGAUUUCUUGGUUUUGGCGAGUUGUUUUUUUCUUUUUGACUAUUUUGUUGUUUUCUUUACUUCACAACGGCUGCUUUCAGGGCCAGUUUGGUCAGCUUGGCAGCCCGCUAACCUCGAUGAUGGAGUACUGGUAGAUGAUCUCGGACGUAGUUCAAAAGAUGACAGGAAGCGUUAUCAGGACCAAAGCCGUGAGGCAGUGAAAUGAAGGUCGUAUCACCCAACAGCCUAGGACACAGCCCUCGGACG
Molecule: long non-coding RNA, 287 nt
Filed under: Mytilus galloprovincialis (Mediterranean mussel)
Lineage: Eukaryota; Metazoa; Mollusca; Bivalvia; Mytilida; Mytilidae
Source: RNAcentral